Molecule: ribosomal RNA, 430 nt
Filed under: Pseudomonadota bacterium
Lineage: Bacteria; Pseudomonadati; Pseudomonadota
Description: Proteobacteria bacterium partial 16S ribosomal RNA
Rfam family: Bacterial small subunit ribosomal RNA
Source: RNAcentral
UGGGGAAUAUUGGACAAUGGGGGGAACCCUGAUCCAGCCAUGCCGCGUGUGUGAAGAAGGCCUUAUGGUUGUAAAGCACUUUAAGCGAGGAGGAGGGUACUGGUAUUAAUACUACCAGGUACUGGACGUUACUCGCAGAAUAAGCACCGGCUAACUCUGUGCCAGCAGCCGCGGUAAUACAGAGGGUGCGAGCGUUAAUCGGAUUUACUGGGCGUAAAGCGCGCGUAGGUGGUUCGUUAAGUUGAAUGUGAAAGCCCCGGGCUCAACCUGGGAACUGCAUCCAAAACUGGCGAGCUAGAGUAGGGCAGAGGGUGGUGGAAUUUCCUGUGUAGCGGUGAAAUGCGUAGAUAUAGGAAGGAACACCAGUGGCGAAGGCGACCACCUGGGCUCAUACUGACACUGAGGUGCGAAAGCGUGGGGAGCAAACAGG